RNAcentral lists this transfer-messenger RNA (378 nucleotides) under Chloroflexota bacterium. Its description in RNAcentral is "Chloroflexi bacterium transfer-messenger RNA". It matches the Rfam family "transfer-messenger RNA". From Rfam's summary of the family: Bacterial tmRNA, also known as 10Sa RNA or SsrA, is named for its dual tRNA and mRNA-like properties. Its role is to liberate the mRNA from a stalled ribosome. To accomplish this part of the tmRNA is used as a reading frame that ends in a translation stop signal. The record is from RNAcentral. Lineage: Bacteria; Bacillati; Chloroflexota. RNAcentral also lists the same sequence under 2 other names.
GGGGGCGUCCGGUCUCGACGGGGCAGUUGAGCUUCGGGAUUGCGAGCCGAGAGCCGCGUGCGUUACAGCGCAGCGUUUACAAACGCCAACAAGAACUCCGCUUUCGCCCUCGCUGCGUAAGCAGUAAGGACUGAAGCCCCGGGACGUUGAUCCCGGGCGUUGCCCUCCGUCAAUCCGGCGGACAGAGGAGCGGCGUCACAUAGACCGGAUCGCCACCCCGGGGGCGCCGCGGCCCCGGGGUGGGACAGUCACCGCGGCUGGCAGAAGCGGAUCCCGUCGGGAGGAGCCGCCAAGCGAGAUCAAAUUCCCUGAACACGCUCGUAGAGAUCCUGGAGGAAGCUGCUUCGGACGCGGGUUCAACUCCCGCCGCCUCCACCA